This is a long non-coding RNA of Carassius gibelio (silver crucian carp), 1185 nucleotides long. RefSeq lists it as uncharacterized. The transcript has 4 exons. Lineage: Eukaryota; Metazoa; Chordata; Actinopteri; Cypriniformes; Cyprinidae. The record is from RefSeq and is a predicted model, not a curated record.
GUCUGCGUAUAAAUAACACGACUUUACACUUUCUAUUUGCGUGUAAUGCAUACGCCAAAUGCCAUUUUUGCGUGCAUAUGAUACGCCAGUCCUUCCCAUUAAUUUCGGUGGAGAGCAGAUGCGUCCAAAUAACACGCAUCAUCUUCAGCGGCAGUGACGUCACCAAGCGAGGCUCGUUCAGUUCACCUGAUGCGCGUACACCUUCAAACAGGUAAGCAAGGUUACGUCGGAUUACAUACUCCACAACAACCUGUAAUCCAGCAGAUCUUUAAAGAAGCCAUCUCUUGUAAAAUCUCUCUCUCUCUCUCUCUCUCUCUCUCGCUCUGCUAGAAUUAACAGGGAACUUCAACUCCACGCUCCCAAUGCUGAUAUUGAAGAAGCUGUCAAGGGGGCUGAACAAGUCCUUCAAAGGAUCAACCCUUCACAGGAAGGCCUGUCAUGAGAUUUGAAUUUGACCAUCUUGUGCAUUUAUGAAGAAGACCAAAAGCUGCAAAGGCAAACACUUCCAAUGGAUUUCUCACAGAUUACUUAAUCAUUCUUCAUCAGCUCUUCACAAUAUCAGCCCAUUCAAAAGCUUCCAGAUCUUCCUCUCUUGUGUGACACAUCUGCUCUCAGUCCUUUACUGCCAACCUCCAGUCUUAGCAUUUCUGCUUGUAUUCAUUUUUCCUCUACAUUCAUCACUCCAAUCUCUACUAUAAGCACUCCUGUAUAUAUAUAUAUAUAUAUAUACUCAUAAUAACUAUUAUUAUUAUUAACCAUUUAUUUGUUUUGCAUUUAUUCACAAUAGAAGCAAACAAUGAUUACAGGAUAUAUGUUUUUAAAGGUGAUAAUUGUAAAAUAUUGGAGCAUUGUUCUUAAUCAUUUUUGCCUAUUUGGUUGAUAAAGGGAAGAAAACAAUAUAUUUUCAACUGUAGCCUUGAUUAUUCUUUGGCAUCUUUUGUCAGGAUUUCUGUAAACAAAUUCCCUAUUUAUUUUUGAAUAUUAAACUUAUGUUUUUUGAAGGGAGUUUCUGUUGCAAUUUUGUUUGUUUGUUUUCACUUAGUUACCUCUAUGCAUUUUUUUUUUUUUUUAUCAACUUUUCUUUUUUUUUCAUAGUGGAAUAAACUGGAGAGAGACUGUUCUGGGCACUAUGUUUAUCUGCGAAAAGUUUGACAUAUCAAUAAACACUGUAAAAUGACUAGACAA